Molecule: ribosomal RNA, 208 nt
Filed under: uncultured bacterium
Lineage: Bacteria
Description: partial 16S ribosomal RNA
Rfam family: Bacterial small subunit ribosomal RNA
Source: RNAcentral
GGUGCGUAGGCGGUGCUCUAAGUCUGUUGUGAAAUCUCCCGGCUUAACUGGGAGGGUGCGGCGGAAACUGGAGUGCUUGAGGGUGGGAGAGGUAAGCGGAAUUCCUGGUGUAGCGGUGAAAUGCGUAGAUAUCAGGAGGAACACCUGUGGUGUAGACAGCUUACUGGACCACUUCUGACGCUGAGGCGCGAAAGCGUGGUAGCAAACA